Molecule: ribosomal RNA, 1572 nt
Filed under: Triticum aestivum (bread wheat)
Lineage: Eukaryota; Viridiplantae; Streptophyta; Magnoliopsida; Poales; Poaceae
Description: partial small subunit ribosomal RNA
Source: RNAcentral
AUGGAUCCGCGCGCCAGGUACCCUCCCGGAACCGGCAACGGUCGCGGCGGGAACCCUAACUACUACGGCCGUGGCCCGCCGUUGUCGCAGAACAACCACCACCACCAGCAGCAGACGUCGGCGGCGCACCAGCAACAAUACGUGCAGCGCCAGCCGCAGCCGCAGCCGCAGCAGCACCACCAAAAUAACCAGCAGCAGCACCACCACCAAAGUAACCACCAGCAGCAGCAUCACCAAAAUCACCACCACCAGCAGCAGCAACAGCAGCAGCAGUGGCUGCGGCGAAACCAGAUCACCGCGGCCGGGACCAGCGGGCCCAAGGUCGUGGCGCCACCCCCAGCGGCGGUCGGCAACGAUCCUAGUUCACAAGAUUGGAAGGCCCAACUGAAGCUUCCACCCGCAGAUACACGAUUCAGGACAGAGGAUGUUACUGCCACCAAAGGGAAUGAGUUUGAAGAUUAUUUUCUUAAGCGUGAACUCCUGAUGGGAAUAUAUGAGAAAGGAUUUGAAAAGCCCUCUCCAAUCCAGGAAGAAAGCAUUCCUAUUGCAUUAACUGGUAGUGAUAUUCUUGCUAGAGCAAAAAAUGGAACUGGCAAGACUGCUGCAUUUUGUAUUCCUGCACUGGAAAAGAUCGACCAGGACAAAAAUGCUAUUCAAGUUGUUAUAGUUGUUCCCACAAGGGAAUUGGCUCUACAGACAUCGCAAGUUUGCAAAGAGCUUGGCAAGCACCUGAAGAUCCAAGUUAUGGUCACCACUGGUGGAACUAGCCUGAAGGAUGACAUUGUUCGUCUAUAUCAACCUGUCCAUUUACUUGUUGGAACGCCUGGACGUAUUUUGGACCUUACGAAGAAAGGUGUUUGCAUCUUGAAGGACUGUUCAAUGCUUGUUAUGGACGAGGCAGACAAGCUUCUCUCUCCUGAAUUUCAACCUUCCAUAGAGCAGUUGAUCCGUUACCUUCCAGCGAGUCGACAGAUUUUAAUGUUUUCAGCAACAUUCCCUGUGACUGUCAAGGAGUUCAAGGAUAAAUAUCUGCCUAAACCUUAUGUUAUUAACCUCAUGGAUGAACUUACACUGAAGGGAAUUACACAAUUCUAUGCUUUCGUAGAAGAAAGGCAAAAAGUUCAUUGUCUUAACACCCUCUUUUCCAAGCUUCAAAUAAAUCAGUCAAUAAUAUUCUGCAACUCUGUAAAUCGUGUUGAGCUAUUAGCGAAAAAGAUCACGGAGCUUGGUUACUCUUGCUUCUACAUCCAUGCAAAGAUGCUGCAGGACCACCGUAACAGAGUAUUCCAUGAUUUCCGCAAUGGGGCAUGCAGGAACCUUGUUUGUACAGAUCUUUUCACAAGGGGGAUAGAUAUUCAAGCUGUUAAUGUUGUUAUCAAUUUUGAUUUCCCCAAGAGCUCUGAAACGUAUCUCCACAGGGUUGGUAGAUCUGGGAGAUUCGGUCACCUUGGUUUGGCUGUGAAUUUGAUCACCUACGAGGAUCGCUUUAACUUGUAUAGGAUUGAGCAGGAGCUCGGAACUGAGAUAAAACCAAUUCCCCCUCAGAUAGACCAGGCCAUAUAUUGCCAAUGA